AUCCGUGAUCGCUUUGCCCGGC
This 22-nucleotide microRNA is filed under the name Ciona intestinalis (vase tunicate). RNAcentral describes it as "cin-miR-4183-3p". The record is from miRBase by way of RNAcentral. Lineage: Eukaryota; Metazoa; Chordata; Ascidiacea; Phlebobranchia; Cionidae.